AGUGAACGCUGGCGGUAGGCCUAACACAUGCAAGUCGAACGGCAGCACAGUAAGAGCUUGCUCUUACGGGUGGCGAGUGGCGGACGGGUGAGGAAUACAUCGGAAUCUACUUUUUCGUGGGGGCUAACGUAGGGAAACUUACGCUAAUACCGCAUACGACCUACGGGUGAAAGCAGGGGACCUUCGGACCUUGCGCGAUUGAAUGAGCCGAUGUCGGAUUAGCUAGUUGGCGGGGUAAAGGCCCACCAAGGCGACGAUCCGUAGCUGGUCUGAGAGGAUGAUCAGCCACACUGGAACUGAGACACGGUCCAGACUCCUACGGGAGGCAGCAGUGGGGAAUAUUGGACAAUGGGCGCAAGCCUGAUCCAGCCAUACCGCGUGGGUGAAGAAGGCCUUCGGGUUGUAAAGCCCUUUUGUUGGGAAAGAAAAGCAGCAGGUUAAUACCCCGCUGUUCUGACGGUACCCAAAGAAUAAGCACCGGCUAACUUCGUG
RNAcentral lists this ribosomal RNA (492 nucleotides) under uncultured bacterium. RNAcentral describes it as "partial 16S ribosomal RNA". It matches the Rfam family "Bacterial small subunit ribosomal RNA", at positions 29 to 507 of the family's 1533-position model. The record is from RNAcentral.